Esox lucius (northern pike) is the source of this 1969-nucleotide long non-coding RNA. NCBI's taxonomy places the organism in Eukaryota, Metazoa, Chordata, Actinopteri, Esociformes, Esocidae. The record is from Ensembl.
CCACACUCUAGAUAAGAACAUUUUAAUUCCAAUUCAUACAUUAUUAAAGGUGAAAAAAAUACAUUUUAAAAUAUGCUUUCUUAAACUUGGCACAAAAUUAAUGAAGCACAGUCUUGGAAAACUGUUCAUGCCACAGGCAAGAACGAUAAAUGGUUAAAAAUGGAUGAACCUGUUGUGGAUCAAGUUCAGGCAGUCAGUCUGUUAAAAGCAGUAUACUUCAAUCUCUUAUUCAUAACACAUUACACAGCAUCCAGUACGUCACAGCAACGAAAUUAAACGACAAAUGGUCACGUACAAAUCAACCACUCGAGGCUUGUUGUGGGUUAUGCUGGCCCAGAGGUGCAAAUGUGAGUGUUGCCUUGCAGCUAAUGAACAUAAAGAAGACAGAUCAUAUAAUUACAAAGAGAUUAAAUAAAGAGAUUAUACAAAAUCCACCCCACGACGUGACAAAACAACGGGCCAAAAUGAACCAGCAGUGUCAGUCUGCGUCAAGGAAAGCCAACCUCCUGGCAAUCCCCCUUUCUCCAAACUUCUUUUGCAGUUCCGAAGUGUCACCGGAAAGCAGCAGGCGGUCAUCACAACGUUCCCAUCGAGGGCCCUGCCAAGCCCCGUCCACUGAAAUUAUGCAAUGACAUUUGACUUUCCACAUGUUGCAGUGGCCAACAGAAACGUGUUGUCUUCUGAUUUCUCAACCCUCCCCCUCCAGAUAGAAUACAUCACACAAAUACGUACGUACAUACGUACAGAAUCAAACUAAGGUGUUGAGCCCACGGAUGGAGAACAUGUUAAGGGACUUGGGCGAUGCUUGCAAUUCCCUCAUUUUCUCCAACUUCCAUGUUCCCGGGACACAAGGUUCACCUUCGUUGGACUACGAAGACUACGCUACCUACCUGGAUUGGGCAAAAUCAGUGGGUCUUGCAAAGCAGCAGAGACGACUCCACUGUUUUUCAGAAGGGCCUUGGUGAUGUCGACAAGCCCCAGUUUCGAGUCCUUAAUCAGGCUGAGGAGAUGCUGCUUGGCCUGGUCAAGCUGGAGCUGGGUAAGAGGCUGGGAUGCCUCAUCUUCCUCCACCUCCUGUUGAGACUCAUGCUCAAACAGGAACAGGUGAGGAGCUGUGGAGGUGGAGGGGAGAGUAUUUGGGCCAGGACUACCCAGUGCUGAAGAAGCUGACGGGGCAGCAGGUUCUUCCGUGACAGGGAUGCUCUUGGCAAUUUUUGCCGGACCUCCGGCCUCAGGCGGUUGGUACCCAGGCUGUGUCUCUGAGCGCUUCUCCUGGGCCGGGGACCGGUGCGAUUUCUUUGGCUUAGGGGAGCCGUUCUCUGGCUGGGGGGCUGAGGCUGACGUCUGGGUCUCCUGGCCGGAUCCUGGUUGUGUUGUACGGGAUGCCGAGGAUGGAGCAACGCUUUCAGCCAGAUCUGGAGUUUCGUCAUCAUCCUCAUCAUGAACUGACUGGGAAAGGAUAAUAAGUAUCAGUAUUAAGAACAAGACAGAAUUUGACCAGAUUUUUUUAUUUAGCUACAUAGUCGAGAGCAUACAUGAAAACAACACCCACAUCAUGACAAUUUACUUUCUAAUGCAGAUUAAUUUCCAGUAAUUUCUGAGUUUGUUUCCCGUAUCUACGCCCUAACUAACUGGACAUGAUGAAAACCCAAGUGUCACAGAUAUUACCUCAUCCGAACCCUCAAAUUCUCUCACUGCCCUCUCAAGGAUGCCCAGUUUUCGCUUCUUGGCCCUUUUCUUUCCCACCUGCCCCUCUGUUGCGUUGGAGGUUGUAGCCCCUGUGAAACAUGUUUUUGUUAUAAAUAUAAGUAUAAUUAAAAAUGUGUUAUAAUGUUGUUAUAAUGUUGUUAAUUGAUCGAAAAAUUCAUGUGAUAAUGUGAAAAGACGAAUACCAAGAGGCAAUGAUAGAAACAGAAACAGAGAUAGAGACUGAAGCAGAGAAACUGUGACAGAGAGAGAGUGAAUGAGA